GACGAACGCUGGCGGCGUGCUUAACACAUGCAAGUCGAACGGAAAGGCCCUGCUUUUGUGGGGUGCUCGAGUGGCGAACGGGUGAGUAACACGUGAGUAACCUGCCCUUUACUUUGGGAUAACUUCAGGAAACUGGUGCUAAUACCGUAUAGGAGCUCCUGCUGCAUGGUGGGGGUUGGAAAGUUUCGGCGGUUGGGGAUGGACUCGCGGCUUAUCAGCUUGUUUGUUGGGUAGUGGCUUACCAAGGAUUUGACGGGUAGCCGGCCUGAGAGGGUGACCGGCCACAUUGGGACUGAGAUACGGAACAGAAUCCAACGGGAGGCAGCAGUGGGGAAUAUUGCACAAUGGGCGGAAGCCGGAUGAAGCAACGCCGCGUGCGGGAUGACGGCCUUCGGGUUGUAAACAGAUUUAGACUGUGACGAAGCGUGAGUGACGGUAAUGGGUAAAGAAGCACCGGCUAACUACGUG
This 468-nucleotide ribosomal RNA is filed under the name uncultured bacterium. RNAcentral describes it as "partial 16S ribosomal RNA". It matches the Rfam family "Bacterial small subunit ribosomal RNA", at positions 28 to 507 of the family's 1533-position model. The record is from RNAcentral.